This 66-nucleotide transfer RNA is filed under the name Tupaia glis (common tree shrew). RNAcentral's name for it is "tRNA-Phe". It matches the Rfam family "tRNA". Rfam says of the family: Transfer RNA (tRNA) molecules are approximately 80 nucleotides in length. Their secondary structure includes four short double-helical elements and three loops (D, anti-codon, and T loops). The record is from RNAcentral. Lineage: Eukaryota; Metazoa; Chordata; Mammalia; Scandentia; Tupaiidae.
GUUAAUGUAGCUUACAAUAAAGCGAGGCACUGAAAAUGCCUAGAUGAGUCAUGGACUCCAUAAACA